CGGUAGCUCAGCUGGAUAGAGCACCAGACUACGAAUCUGGGGGUCGGGGGUUCGAAUCCUCCCCG
Molecule: transfer RNA, 65 nt
Filed under: Acuticoccus yangtzensis
Lineage: Bacteria; Pseudomonadati; Pseudomonadota; Alphaproteobacteria; Hyphomicrobiales; Amorphaceae
Also listed under: 7 other names
Rfam family: tRNA
About the family: Transfer RNA (tRNA) molecules are approximately 80 nucleotides in length. Their secondary structure includes four short double-helical elements and three loops (D, anti-codon, and T loops).
Source: RNAcentral